Molecule: unclassified non-coding RNA, 358 nt
Filed under: soil metagenome
Description: partial contains 5.8S ribosomal RNA, internal transcribed spacer 2, and large subunit ribosomal RNA
Rfam family: 5.8S ribosomal RNA (bases 1-120)
Source: RNAcentral
GAUGAAGAACGUAGCGAAAUGCGAUAAGUAAUGUGAAUUGCAGAAUUCAGUGAAUCAUCGAAUCUUUGAACGCACAUUGCGCCCGUCAGUAUUCUGGCGGGCAUGCCUGUUCGAGCGUCAUUACGCCCCUCAAGUCCCCUGUGGACUUGGUGUUGGGGAUCGGCGAGGCUGGUUUUCCAGCACAGCCGUCCCUUAAAUUAAUUGGCGGUCUCGCCGUGGCCCUCCUCUGCGCAGUAGUAAAACACUCGCAACAGGAGCCCGGCGCGGUCCACUGCCGUAAAACCCCCCAACUUUUUAUAGUUGACCUCGAAUCAGGUAGGACUACCCGCUGUACUUAAGCAUAUCAAUAAGCGGAGGA